CCGGAAGUGGGGCGGUGACCCCGGAAGUCCCCGCCGGGUGCAGCUUGGUCGGUUCGAUCGCCGCCGGGACCUGACGCCGCUCGGAGUUGGCGUCCCUUCUCCCUCUCCGAGUGCUGCUUCUGUCAUUGUGGCCAUGGACGUUCACGGCGAAGCAGCUGGAGAAGCUGGCCAAGAAGGCGGAGAAGGACUCCAAGGCGGAGCAGGCCAAAGUGAAGAAGGCCCUUCUGCAGAAAAAUGUAGAGUGUGCCCGUGUGUAUGCCGAGAACGCCAUCCGCAAGAAGAACGAAGGUGUGAACUGGCUUCGGAUGGCGUCCCGCGUAGACGCGGUGGCCUCCAAGGUGCAGACGGCUGUGACCAUGAAGGGGGUGACCAAGAACAUGGCCCAGGUGACCAAAGCCCUGGACAAGGCCCUGAGCACCAUGGACCUGCAGAAGGUCUCCUCAGUGAUGGACAGGUUCGAGCAGCAGGUGCAGAACCUGGACGUCCAUACAUCGGUAUGCGGCCCCUGCCCCUGGGGCUGUGGCCUGGGGACAAGGAGGGUGUGUGGGCAGCUCAUCGGGAGGGGUGGCUCACAGGCUGACAUGCUGUCUCUGCAUACCUGUGGUUGCUCCCUGACGUCACCAGGCAUCCUCUGUGCUGGGUCCCUGCCAGGA
RNAcentral lists this small RNA (653 nucleotides) under Pongo abelii (Sumatran orangutan). Its description in RNAcentral is "processed transcript". Lineage: Eukaryota; Metazoa; Chordata; Mammalia; Primates; Hominidae. The record is from RNAcentral.